This 497-nucleotide ribosomal RNA is filed under the name uncultured bacterium. Its description in RNAcentral is "partial 16S ribosomal RNA". It matches the Rfam family "Bacterial small subunit ribosomal RNA", at positions 28 to 507 of the family's 1533-position model. The record is from RNAcentral.
GAUGAACGCUGGCGGCGUGCCUAAUACAUGCAAGUCGAGCGAACGGACGAGAAGCUUGCUUUUCUGAUGUUAGCGGCGGACGGGUGAGUAACACGUGGAUAACCUACCUAUAAGACUGGGAUAACUUCGGGAAACCGGAGCUAAUACCGGAUAAUAUUUUGAACCGCAUGGUUCAAAAGUGAAAGACGGUCUUGCUGUCACUUAUAGAUGGAUCCGCGCUGCAUUAGCUAGUUGGUAAGGUAACGGCUUACCAAGGCAACGAUGCAUAGCCGACCUGAGAGGGUGGUCGGCCACCCUGGAACUGAGACACGGUCCAGACUCCUACGGGAGGCAGCAGUAGGGAAUCUUCCGCAUUGGGCGAAAGCCUGACGGAGCAACGCCGCGUGAGUGAUGAAGGUCUUCGGAUCGUAAAACUCUGUUAUUAGGGAAGAACAUAUGUGUAAGUAACUGUGCACAUCUUGACGGUACCUAAUCAGAAAGCCACGGCUAACUACGUG